UACGAAGGGGGCUAGCGUUGUUCGGAAUUACUGGGCGUAAAGCGUGCGCAGGCGGUCUUCCAAGUCAGUGGUGAAAGCCCGGAGCUCAACUCCGGAACUGCCAUUGAAACUGUGAGGCUUGAGGACGAGAGAGGUGAGUGGAAUUCCCAGUGUAGAGGUGAAAUUCGUAGAUAUUGGGAAGAACACCGGUGGCGAAGGCGGCUCACUGGCUCGUUUCUGACGCUCAUGCACGACAGCGUGGGGAGCAAACAGG
Molecule: ribosomal RNA, 253 nt
Filed under: uncultured bacterium
Lineage: Bacteria
Description: partial 16S ribosomal RNA
Rfam family: Bacterial small subunit ribosomal RNA
Source: RNAcentral